CCCAAUGGUUAAUCCAUUACAGAAAGAAGUUGGUGUAGAAGUGAUGCGUAAAAUAACUAAACACACAAAUUAAACCCUCUUGUUGACAAUUGUAGUAUGGAUAAGUAGGGAUCGUUCUGGACCAGGGAUUAGGAGGGAUUGCUAAUCUACUCUAAACUGACUUAGAAACACAAAAAUAAACUUAAAAACACUUAACAAGACUCACAAGACUCAAAACAAACUUAAAAGACUCAAAACAAGCUAAAAACACUCAAAACUGCCUAAAAACACAAACUGGGCAGUUUUGAGUUCUAAACACAAUUUGGACGAAAUUUGGGUUUCUAAAGGCUCAAAACACUUAAAAACACAAUCUCAGACAAGUUCUAACUAAUAUGACUUAACAAAGUAGGGGGUUUGGUUUUGGACGAAAAUAAGUAAAUUAAAACAAGAACAAUUUAAACAGAUUCUUAAGCAAAUUUGGGUGAAUUGAUGAGAUAUGGGGUAACUAGAGGGUUCUUCUUCACACAUGA
This 509-nucleotide long non-coding RNA is filed under the name Malus domestica (apple). Its description in RNAcentral is "long non-coding RNA (MDOM_LNC011327)". Lineage: Eukaryota; Viridiplantae; Streptophyta; Magnoliopsida; Rosales; Rosaceae. The record is from RNAcentral.